AAUGGCCUAGCGGCUGAACCAGCCAUUUGACGGAAUGUAAUCGUUUUAUGACGUGCAUAGUAAUUAUUUUUUAUGCUAUACUAUGUAUCAACUAUGUUGAAUAAAGUUCUGAAUAGAUAAUUGAUAAUGACAAAAUUCUAUUCACAUCUCUUGACCAAUGCUUGUGCCAGCAGUCGCGGCAACACAAGUAAGAUUAGUGUUAUUCAUCUUUAUUAGGUUUAAAGCGUACUUAGACGGCAUUAUUACUAUCUGUUAUCUACAGGUACUCCAUUUGCUAGAGUUUUAUGUGAGAGGUAAAUAUUAGGACUAUUAGUGGAGAGAUAAAAUUCUUUGAUACUAAUAGAAUGUGUAUUGGUGAAGACAACCCUCUAUGUAUAAACUGACGUUAAGGGACGAAGGCUUGGGGAGCAAAUAGGAUUAGAUACCCUAGUAGUCCAGGCAGAAAAUUAUGAAUGUUAUAUGUAUGCUGUACUUGGUGGUCUUUUUUUAAUAAAAAAAGAUGCAAGUAAUACAAAGUUAGCGUAUAAAUGAAAGUGUAAGCAUUCCACCUUAAGAGUAGUGUGGCAACACAGGAACUGAAAUCAUUAGACCGUUUCUGAAACCAGUAGUGAAGUAUGUUAUUUAAUUCGAUAACCCUCGAAAAACCUUACCACAAUUUGUAUAGAAUGCAUCUAAAUAUAUUAUAAGUAUUUAAGUGUGUAUUACAAGCGUUGCACGGCUGUCUAAAGCUAAUGUCGUGAGAUUGUGGUUAGAUUCAUUAAAUUAGCGUAACCCCCUUGCUUCAUUUGAUUAUAAUAAAGUGUUUGAUCUAUAUAUUGGAUCAAGUAAUAGGGAAGAAGACAAGUCAUCAUGACCUUAAUAUUGUGGGCUAUAGACGUGCCACAUAUGUCUAUACAAAGAGAGACAAAAAUGUAAAUUUAAGAUAAUCUCUAAAAUAGAAUAUAAUAU
RNAcentral lists this ribosomal RNA (948 nucleotides) under uncultured fungus. Its description in RNAcentral is "SSU rRNA". It matches the Rfam family "Bacterial small subunit ribosomal RNA", at positions 370 to 1294 of the family's 1533-position model. The record is from RNAcentral. Lineage: Eukaryota; Fungi.